This 619-nucleotide ribosomal RNA is filed under the name uncultured bacterium. RNAcentral's name for it is "bacterial SSU rRNA". The stretch from base 1 to 542 matches the Rfam family "Bacterial small subunit ribosomal RNA", at positions 338 to 873 of the family's 1533-position model. The record is from RNAcentral.
CCUACGGGAGGCAGCAGUGGGGAAUUUUGGACAAUGGGGGCAACCCUGAUCCAGCAAUGCCGCGUGAGUGAAGAAGGCCUUCGGGUUGUAAAGCUCUUUUGUCAGGGAAGAAACGGGUGGGGCUAAUAUCCUCAUCUAAUGACGGUACCUGAAGAAUAAGCACCGGCUAACUACGUGCCAGCAGCCGCGGUAAUACGUAGGGUGCAAGCGUUAAUCGGAAUUACUGGGCGUAAAGCGUGCGCAGGCGGUUAUGUAAGUCAGAUGUGAAAUCCCCGGGCUCAACCUGGGAACUGCAUUUGAGACUGCAUGGCUAGAGUGUGUCAGAGGGGGGUAGAAUUCCACGUGUAGCAGUGAAAUGCGUAGAUAUGUGGAGGAAUACCGAUGGCGAAGGCAGCCCCCUGGGAUAACACUGACGCUCAUGCACGAAAGCGUGGGGAGCAAACAGGAUUAGAUACCCUGGUAGUCCACGCCCUAAACGAUGUCUACUAGUUGUCGGGACUUAAUUGUCUUGGUAACGCAGCUAACGCGUGAAGUAGACCGCCUGGGGAGGUACGGUCGCGAGAGUAAACGUACGAAGUAGAGUAGAGNGNGAGAGNGCGAGACGACGACGAGGGAGAGG